UUGAAGGGUCAAAUAAUAUUAAACUACUUGGAUUAGGAAUUGCAAUUUGCCCUGAAUGACCCGAAACCCAUGGUGCACUACCCUAUUUUCCCCCCCAAAAUCAGAGUUGCAAGAUAGGCUUGGGACAAUAGUUUAAAAUCUGAAUUAGUAUAUAUAUAUAUAUAUAUAUAUUUUAUAUAAUUUCAUUUAUGUAAAUGUAAAACCUAACAAAAACAACCCUCAUUUUCUUCUUGCCGACAUCACCUUUACUUCACAAAAAGCUGCUGCCGCACCAUUCACCAAAUUGCCGUCACCAAGCUUCACCACCACCAAUCUGCCGACUAUCACCCAUCUUUACUUCAUAGGAAUCACAGCCCGCACAAUCCCAACCUCGACACCUAGCAAGGAGCCCUACCCAUAUAUCUCUAUCUCACACUAAACCAUGUUUGUGUGUGUCUCUCACAGUCUUAGAUCAUGAUCUACUUGAAGCUUGUAAUUAAAACCAAAGUGACCCUUUUUUACAUUCUUCCAUGGAGACUUAAGGAAAUAAGAAGUAAUACUUUAUUA
Long non-coding RNA from Ziziphus jujuba (common jujube), 546 nucleotides. RefSeq lists it as uncharacterized. NCBI's taxonomy places the organism in Eukaryota, Viridiplantae, Streptophyta, Magnoliopsida, Rosales, Rhamnaceae. The transcript has 2 exons. The record is from RefSeq and is a predicted model, not a curated record.